Molecule: ribosomal RNA, 370 nt
Filed under: uncultured organism
Description: bacterial SSU rRNA
Rfam family: Bacterial small subunit ribosomal RNA
Source: RNAcentral
CGAACCGUGCGAACGUUGUUCGGAAUCACUGGGCUUAAAGGGCGCGUAGGCGGUCAAUCCAGUCGGGGGUGAAAUCUUGCAGCUUAACUGUAAAAGUGCCUUCGAUACUGAUUGACUCGAGGGAGGUAGGGGCAGGUGGAACUUCCAGUGGAGCGGUGAAAUGUGUUGAUAUUGGAAGGAACGCCGGUGGCGAAAGCGACCUGCUGGAUCUCUUCUGACGCUGAGGCGCGAAAGCUAGGGGAGCAAACGGGAUUAGAUACCCCGGUAGUCCUAGCCCUAAACGAUGAGUACUGAGUAGUGGACUUACAUGGGUUCACUGCUGAAGCAAAAGUGGUAAGUACUCCGCCUGGGGAGUAUGGUCGCAAGGCUG